AUUGAACGCUGGCGGAAUGCUUUACACAUGCAAGUCGAACGGUAGAGGGGGCAACCCCUCGAGAGUGGCGAACGGGUGAGUAAUAUAUCGGAACGUGCCCAGUCGUGGGGGAUAACGUAGCGAAAGUUACGCUAAUACCGCAUACGAUCUAAGGAUGAAAGCGGGGGAUCGCAAGACCUCGCGCGAUUGGAGCGGCCGAUAUCAGAUUAGGUAGUUGGUGGGGUAAAGGCUCAACAAGCCAACGAUCUGUAGCUGGUCUGAGAGGACGACCAGCCACACUGGAACUGAGACACGGUCCAGAUUCCUACGGGAGGCAGCAGUGGGGAAUUUUGGACAAUGGACGCAAGUCUGAUCCAGCCAUUCCGCGUGCAGGAUGAAGGCCCUCGGGUUGUAAACUGCUUUUGUACGGAACGAAAAGGUCUCUCUUAAUACGGGGGACUCAUGACGGUACCGUAAGAAUAAGCACCGGCUAACUACGUGCCAGCCGCCGCCGUAA
This 496-nucleotide ribosomal RNA is filed under the name uncultured bacterium. RNAcentral's name for it is "partial 16S ribosomal RNA". It matches the Rfam family "Bacterial small subunit ribosomal RNA", at positions 30 to 523 of the family's 1533-position model. The record is from RNAcentral.